This is a long non-coding RNA of Sapajus apella (tufted capuchin), 322 nucleotides long. RefSeq lists it as uncharacterized. NCBI's taxonomy places the organism in Eukaryota, Metazoa, Chordata, Mammalia, Primates, Cebidae. The transcript is spliced from 3 exons. The record is from RefSeq and is a predicted model, not a curated record.
GAGAGCUCAGAAGAACAUAGAAAAAUGUGGGAAAGUUGGAACUUUCUAGGGACUUGUUGAAUGGCUUUGACCAAAAUGGUAAUAGUGAUACGGACAAUACAAGCUGAGGUGGUCUUAGAUGAAGAUGAGGAACUUGUUGGGAACUUGAAUAAACAUGACCCUUGCUAUGCUUUGGCAAAGAAACUGGCAGCAUUUUGUCCCUGCUCUAGAGAUCUGUGGAACUUUGAACUUGAGAGAGAUGAUUUAUGGUAUCUGGCAGAAGAAAUUUCUAAGCAGCAAAGCCUUCAAGAGGUGAUUUGGGGGCUGUUAAAUGCAUUCAGUU